AUCCCAUGGUGAGGACACACUAGGAUGUACUCUUGAAGCCGUUCCCAUGCUUCAGUUAUUGACUCAUUUGACGCCGGCUGAAAUCCAGAAAUUCUUCCUCGGAAAGC
This is a small nucleolar RNA of Panicum hallii, 107 nucleotides long. The record is from RefSeq and is a predicted model, not a curated record. NCBI's taxonomy places the organism in Eukaryota, Viridiplantae, Streptophyta, Magnoliopsida, Poales, Poaceae.